GACGUAGGGCGCGAGCGUUGUCCGGAUUUAUUGGGCGUAAAGAGCUCGUAGGCGGCUUGUUGCGUCGACUGUGAAAACCCGCGGCUCAACCGCGUGGCUUGCAGUCGAUACGGGCAGGCUAGAAUUCGGUAGGGGAGACUGGAAUUCCUGGUGUAGCGGUGAAAUGCGCAGAUAUCAGGAGGAACACCGGUGGCGAAGGCGGGUCUCUGGACCGAUAUUGACGCUGAGGAGCGAAAGCGUGGGGAGCGAACAGG
RNAcentral lists this ribosomal RNA (254 nucleotides) under uncultured bacterium. Its description in RNAcentral is "partial 16S ribosomal RNA". It matches the Rfam family "Bacterial small subunit ribosomal RNA", at positions 524 to 776 of the family's 1533-position model. The record is from RNAcentral.